AUUGAACGCUGGCGGCAGGCCUAACACAUGCAAGUCGAGCGGAUGAAGGGAGCUUGCUCCUGGAUUCAGCGGCGGACGGGUGAGUAAUGCCUAGGAAUCUGCCUGGUAGUGGGGGAUAACGUCCGGAAACGGGCGCUAAUACCGUAUACGUCCUGAGGGAGAAAGUGGGGGAUCUUCGGUCCUCACGCUAUCAGAUGAGCCUAGGUCGGAUUAGCUAGUUGGUGGGGUAAAGGCCUACCAAGGCGACGAUCCGUAACUGGUCUGAGAGGAUGAUCAGUCACACUGGAACUGAGACACGGUCCAGACUCCUACGGGAGGCAGCAGUAGGGAAUAUUGGGCAAAGGGCGAAAGCCUGAUCCAGCCAUGCCGCGUGUGUGAAGAAGGUCUUCGGAUUGUAAAGCACUUUAAGUUGGGAGGAACGGCAGUAAGUUAAUACCUUGCUGUUUUGACGUUACCAACAGAAUAAGCACCGGCUAACUUCGUG
RNAcentral lists this ribosomal RNA (484 nucleotides) under uncultured bacterium. RNAcentral's name for it is "partial 16S ribosomal RNA". It matches the Rfam family "Bacterial small subunit ribosomal RNA", at positions 30 to 507 of the family's 1533-position model. The record is from RNAcentral.